GCCGCGUCGCCUUCCACAGCGUGGAAGCUUUGUUCUUUUGCUCUUUGCAAUAAAUCUUGCUGCUGCUCACCCUUUGGGUUUGCACUGCUUUUAUGAGCUGUAACACUCACCGCAAAGGUCUGCAGCUUCACUCCUGAGGCCAGCGAGACCAUGAACCCACAGGGAGGAAUGAACAACUCUGGAGGGGAGAAACAAACAACUCCACACGUGCUGCCUUAGGAGCUGUAACACUCACCGCAAAGGUCUGCAGCUUCACUCCUGAAGCCAGCGAGACCACAAACCCACCAGAAGGAAGCAACUCCGAACAUCAGAAGGAACAAAGUCCGGACACAACAUCUUUAAGAACUGUAACACUCACCACGAGGGUCCGCAGCUUCAUUCUUGAAGUCAGUGAGACCAACAACCCACCAAUUCCAGACACACUCUGAGUGCUGGCUUCAAAGAGGAGAAAGCUUUAGUGCCAUACAAAAGGGACCUGAUUGCCAAUGGCUGAGUGGAGGAUUCCCGGUGCCAGUAGGCAUUUCUGUUGUUGUUUCUGCUGGAGGAAAAUAUGGGGAAAGAGAGUGGAUGGCAAACACAGCGAAGCCUCUAGAUUUGGAGUAAUACACAUCAUGUUUUGUGACUUCUUAUGGAAAUGCUGAUGUUGAAAUAAUCUUUAUGAAGGAGAAAAAAAUAGUUUGUUUAUACUGUCUUCAUGAAAUAAGAAUUUAAAAUACCAACACUUGCAACCUGGAGGCUUUGAUGGAUUGAACAUUUUGACUAGAUAGUUUGUCUCUCAAGAUAUCGUACUGAUAGAAAAAUAAUGUAGAACAUGAUCUAAUGGAACUAAUAUUUAAAACUAUCUGCCUAAAAGAAAACAUUAGGUAUUAUUUCUCAUCUGAGCUGAUCUUUUACAAGAAGAAGAAGGGGAAGGGGAAGAGAAGGAGGAGGAAGAGGAAGGAGGGGGAAGAGGAAGGAGAAAAAGAAGCAGGGGUGGAAAGAGCUGCAGCAGCAGGAGCAGGAGCAGGAGCAGCAGCGCCACUGCCACAACCACCACCACCAAAACAACAAAGGGGAAGCAAAAGAAGGUGGAAGAGGAGGUGAAGAGAAGCACAAGCAGAAAAAGAAGGAGAAAGAAAUCCAUCAAAUUGAAAUCCUUUUGCUUACAGGAAGUUAUUCCUGAGGGCACUCUCUUUUUUUAUUCAACCAGCAUUCAUUGAACAUCUAACAUCUUGAAGAAGACAUGGUUCUUGCUGAGAGCUACUGCAAACAAAAAAACAGGUAGCAUAGAGCUGAAAAAGUGUUUGCAAUCUGUACACACUGAGAAAUUCCCUGAGCUGCAUCCUGACAAAUGUCAUCCACUUAAAUACUUCUAAUAAACAAGAAUUGACUACCU
Molecule: long non-coding RNA, 1375 nt
Filed under: Homo sapiens (human)
Lineage: Eukaryota; Metazoa; Chordata; Mammalia; Primates; Hominidae
Description: HSALNT0110029
Source: RNAcentral